RNAcentral lists this ribosomal RNA (333 nucleotides) under uncultured soil bacterium. RNAcentral describes it as "bacterial SSU rRNA". It matches the Rfam family "Bacterial small subunit ribosomal RNA", at positions 26 to 371 of the family's 1533-position model. The record is from RNAcentral.
AGAUUGAACGCUGGCGGCAUGCCUAACACAUGCAAGUCGAACGGGAGUAGCAAUACUCUAGUGGCGGACGGGUGAGGAAUACGUAGGAAUUUGCCCUUAAGUGGGGGAUAACCCGGGGAAACCCGGAUUAAUACCGCAUGACCUCGAAAGAGCAAAGUGGGGGAUCGCAAGACCUCACGCUUUUGGAGAAGCCUACGUCGGAUUAGCUAGUUGGUGAGGUAAUGGCUCACCAAGGCGACGAUCCGUAACUGGUCUGAGAGGAUGAUCAGUCACACCGGAACUGAGACACGGUCCGGACUCCUACGGGAGGCAGCAGUGGGGAAUAUUGGACAA